Molecule: ribosomal RNA, 207 nt
Filed under: uncultured bacterium
Lineage: Bacteria
Description: partial 16S ribosomal RNA
Rfam family: Bacterial small subunit ribosomal RNA
Source: RNAcentral
UGCGUAGGCGGUUUUGUUAGUCUUUUGUUAAAUCUCCCGGCUCAACCGGGAACCUGCAAAGGAAACGGCAAAACUCGAGGAUGUGAGAGGUGAUCGGAACUCAAGGUGUAGGGGUGAAAUCCGUUGAUAUCUUGGGGAACACCAAAAGCGAAGGCAGAUCACUGGCACAUUCCUGACGCUGAAGCACGAAAGCGUGGGUAGCGAACG